This 377-nucleotide unclassified non-coding RNA is filed under the name plant metagenome. RNAcentral's name for it is "partial contains small subunit ribosomal RNA, internal transcribed spacer 1, and 5.8S ribosomal RNA". The record is from RNAcentral.
GGAAGUAAAAGUCGUGACAAGGGAAGCCGUAGGUGACCCUGCGGCUGGAUCAUUAUCGAGCUAAGCAAAAAACUCUAGUGCUUCGGCGCUAAAGUAGUGGCAGGAACUAUGUGCGGUGCGUUUGCUUGACGUACGACUGCACGCCACAGUGACCCAACGGCGAUCGGUUGGUGUCUGUCCGGUUCUGAGCAGCUGUUGCCUAAGUCCGUGGCUGCGUUGACGAAUCGGGGCACGCAUACGUCCUGCUAUUCGGCGGGGUAGCGGAUGCGAAGACUCAAUGAGCUCCACGCCUGGGAGCUGCCAACCAACCUUUUUUUCAACAAAUUUUUCUUAACUAAAGACAAAUAUCAGUCUUACCGGUGGAUCACUCGGUUCGU